RNAcentral lists this non-coding RNA (27 nucleotides) under Cricetulus griseus (Chinese hamster). Lineage: Eukaryota; Metazoa; Chordata; Mammalia; Rodentia; Cricetidae. The record is from RNAcentral.
AGUGGCAUUGUACGUGGACCUAGAUGA